UUGUCCUGUGACUGCGUACCUUUUGUAUAAUGGGUCAGCGACUUAUAUUCAGUGGCAAGGUUAACCAUCUAGGGGAGCCGUAGGGAAACCGAGUCUUAACUGGGCGUUCAGUCUCUGGAUAUAGACCCGAAACCAGGUGAUCUAGCCAUGGGCAGGUUGAAGGUUGAGUAACAUCAACUGGAGGACCGAACCGACUAAUGUUGAAAAAUUAGCGGAUGACUUGUGGCUAGGGGUGAAAGGCCAAUCAAACCUGGAGAUAGCUGGUUCUCCCCGAAAGCUAUUUAGGUAGCGCCUCGGACGAAUACUACUGGGGGUAGAGCACUGUUAAGGCUAGGGGGUCAUCCCGACUUACCAACCCUUUGCAAACUCCGAAUACCAGUAAGUACUAUCCGGGAGACACACGGCGGGUGCUAACGUCCGUCGUGGAGAGGGAAACAACCCAGACCGCCAGCUAAGGUCCCAAAUUACUACUAAGUGGGAAACGAUGUGGGAAGGCUCAGACAGCCAGGAUGUUGGCUUAGAAGCAGCCAUCAUUUAAAGAAAGCGUAAUAGCUCACUGGUCGAGUCGGCCUGCGCGGAAGAUGUAACGGGGCUAAGUAGUAAACCGAAGCUGCGGCAAU
Molecule: ribosomal RNA, 620 nt
Filed under: Vibrio alginolyticus
Lineage: Bacteria; Pseudomonadati; Pseudomonadota; Gammaproteobacteria; Vibrionales; Vibrionaceae
Also listed under: 2 other names
Description: partial 23S ribosomal RNA
Rfam family: Bacterial large subunit ribosomal RNA
Source: RNAcentral